CGUGUAGGCGGUCCGCUAAGUCUGAUGUGAAAGCCCGGGGCUCACCCCCGGAAGGGCAUUGGAAACUGGCGGACUCGAGUCCCGGAGAGGAGGGUGGAAUUCCUGGUGUAGCGGUGAAAUGCGUAGAUAUCAGGAGGAACACCGGUGGCGAAGGCGGCCCUCUGGACGGUGACUGACGCUGAGACGCGAAAGCGUGGGGAGAAACA
This 206-nucleotide ribosomal RNA is filed under the name uncultured bacterium. RNAcentral describes it as "partial 16S ribosomal RNA". It matches the Rfam family "Bacterial small subunit ribosomal RNA", at positions 568 to 773 of the family's 1533-position model. The record is from RNAcentral.